GACGAACGCUGGCGGCGUGCCUAACACAUGCAAGUGGAGCGACGAACCAGGCUUCGGCCUGGGGCAAAGCCGCGAACGGGUGAGUAACACGUGGGUAACCUGCCCCGAUGAUUAGGGACAACCCGAACGGAAACUACGGCGUAAUACCGAAUGUGCCCUACAGCUUCAAGGCUGGUGGGGAAAGGAAAGCUUCGGCCUCCGCAUCGGGAUGGGCCCGCGGCCCAUUAGCUUGUUGGUGA
Molecule: ribosomal RNA, 239 nt
Filed under: uncultured bacterium
Lineage: Bacteria
Description: partial 16S ribosomal RNA
Rfam family: Bacterial small subunit ribosomal RNA
Source: RNAcentral